This 2493-nucleotide long non-coding RNA is filed under the name Oncorhynchus mykiss (rainbow trout). RNAcentral's name for it is "lncRNA (ENSOMYG00000058635.1)". Lineage: Eukaryota; Metazoa; Chordata; Actinopteri; Salmoniformes; Salmonidae. The record is from RNAcentral.
AUGCCUUUCUGCACCUCCUCUCUUCCCCUCCAUGCCUUUCUGUACCUCCUCUCUCCCUCUCCAUGCCUUUCUGCACCUCCUCUCUCCCUCUCCAUGCCUUUCUGCACCUCCUCCCUCCCUCUCCAUGUUUUUCUGCACCUCCUCUCUCCCUCUCCAUGCCUUUCUGCACCUCCUCUCUCCCGCUCCAUGCCUUUCUGCACCUCCUCUCUCCCGCUCCAUGCCUUUCUGCACCUCUCUCCCGCUCCAUGCCUUUCUGUACCUCCUCUCUCCCUCUCCAUGCCUUUCUGCACCUCUCUCCCGCUCCAUGCCUUUCUGUACCUCCUCUCUCCUGCUCCAUGCCUUUCUGCACCUCCUCUCUCCCGCUCCAUGCCUUUCUGCACCUCCUCUCUCCCUCUCCAUGCCUUUCUGCACCUCUCUCCCGCUCCAUGCCUUUCUGCACCUCCUCUCUCCCUCUCCAUGCCUUUCUGCACCUCCUCUCUCCCUCUCCAUGCCUUUCUGUACCUCCUCUCUCCCGCUCCAUGCCUUUCUGCACCUCCUCUCUCCCGCUCCAUGCCUUUCUGCACCUCCUCUCUCCCUCUCCAUGCCUUUCUGUACCUCCUCUCUCCCGCUCCAUGCCUUUCUGCACCUCCUCUCUCCCGCUCCAUGCCUUUCUGCACCUCCUCUCUCCCGCUCCAUGCCUUUCUGCACCUCUCUCCCGCUCCAUGCCUUUCUGCACCUAUCUCCCUCUCCAUGCCUUUCUGCACCUCCACUCUCCCUCCCCAUGCCUUUCUGCACCUCCUCUCUCCCUCUCCAUGCCUUUCUGCACCUCCUCUCUCCCGCUCCAUGCCUUUCUGCACCUCCUCUCUCCCGCUCCAUGCCUUUCUGCACCUCUCUCCCUCCCCAUGCCUUUCUGCACCUCCUCUCUCCCUCCCCAUGCCUUUCUGCACCUCCUCUCUCCCUCUCCAUGCCUUUCUGCACCUCUCUCCCUCUCCAUGCCUUUCUGCACCUCCUCUCUCCCUCCCCAUGCCUUUCUGCACCUCCUCUCUCCCUCCCCAUGCCUUUAUGCACCUCCUCUCUCCCUCUCCAUGCCUUUCUGCACCUCUCUCCCUCUCCAUGCCUUUCUGCACCUCCUCUCUCCCGCUCCAUGCCUUUCUGUACCUCCUCUCUCCCUCUCCAUGCCUUUCUGCACCUCCUCUCUCCCUCUCCAUGCCUUUCUGCACCUCCUCUCUCCCUCUCCAUGCCUUUCUGCACCUCUCUCCCUCUCCAUGCCUUUCUGCACCUCCUCUCUCCCUCCCCAUGCCUUUCUGCACCUCCUCUCUCCCUCCGCAUGCCUUUAUGCACCUCCUCUCUCCCUCUCCAUGCCUUUCUGCACCUCUCUCCCUCUCCAUGCCUUUCUGCACCUCCACUCUCCCUCCCCAUGCCUUUCUGCACCUCCUCUCUCCCUCUCCAUGCCUUUCUGCACCUCCUCUCUCCCGCUCCAUGCCUUUCUGCACCUCCUCUCUCCCUCCCCAUGCCUUUCUGCACCUCUUCUCUCCCUCUCCAUGCCUUUCUGCACCUCCUCUCUCCCUCUCCAUGCCUUUCUGCACCUCUUUCCCUCUCCAUGCCUUUCUGCACCUCCUCUCUCCCUCUCCAUGCCUUUCUGCACCUCCUCUCUCCCUCUCCAUGCCUUUCUGCACCUCUCUCCCUCUCCAUGCCUUUCUGCACCUCUCUCCCUCUCCAUGCCUUUCUGCACCUCCACUCUCCCUCCCCAUAACUUUCUGCACCUCCUCUCUCCCUCUCCAUGCCUUUCUGCACCUCCUCUCUCCCUCCCCAUGCCUUUCUGCACCUCUCUCCCUCUCCAUGCCUUUCUGCACCUCCUCUCUCCCUCCCCAUGCCUUUCUGCACCUCCUCUCUCCCUCCCCAUGCCUUUAUGCACCUCCUCUCUCCCUCUCCAUGCCUUUCUGCACCUCUCUCCCUCUCCAUGCCUUUCUGCACCUCCUCUCUCCCUCUCCAUGCCUUGAUGCACCUCCUCCCUCCCUCUCCAUGCCUUUCUGCACCUCCUCUCUCCCUCUCCAUGCCUUUCUGCACCUCCUCCCUCCCUCUCCAUGCCUUUCUGCACCUCCUCUCUCCCGCUCCAUGCCUUUCUGCACCUCCUCUCUCCCUCCCCAUGCCUUUCUGCACCUCUUCUCUCCCUCUCCAUGCCUUUCUGCACCUCCUCUCUCCCUCUCCAUGCCUUUCUGCACCUCCUCUCUCCCUCCCCAUGCCUUUCUGCACCUCUUCUCUCCCUCUCCAUGCCAUUCUGCACCUCCUCUCUCCCUCUCCAUGCCUUUCUGCACCUCCUCUCUCCCGCUCCAUGAUUUCUUUGCUCACACCUCUUUCCAAACCCCACUCCCCUGCCAUUGUCUCCCUCUUCCUUCUGUCGCUCUUUGCCUCUCUCACUCUCCCCCCCAUCUCUCUCUAUAUCACUCACUCACUCCCUAUAUCGCUCUCUCCUCAUGCUGCCUCAGCACUCUUCUUUCUCCAGCCCCUCCCUAG